This is a long non-coding RNA of Hemicordylus capensis (graceful crag lizard), 1010 nucleotides long. RefSeq lists it as uncharacterized. The transcript is spliced from 3 exons. NCBI's taxonomy places the organism in Eukaryota, Metazoa, Chordata, Lepidosauria, Squamata, Cordylidae. The record is from RefSeq and is a predicted model, not a curated record.
UUGACCCUCUGUUCUGAAAAAUAAGUAUAAGCUGCCAAGAUGAAUGGGGCUCUCCUUAGCUGGAGUCAAGAGAUUGUGUUUAACACUGAAAGUGGUAUGGCAAAGGCAUUGUUUAUUGGGUGUAUACAGGCAUUUCCAGUGUCAAGCUGGUUAUUUCCAGUCUUCUAGCACUCCUACAACAUUAGAACACUCACAACAAUGCACACCAGGGGCAAUAAUGCCCAAUACCAUCUCACACAUAACUUUUGGCAAGAACUCUUGCCUGCAUCCAAACCUGCUCAAGCUAAUUUUCAAUACUAGUAUUUUGAUUUCAUGUCUCCCUAUGCUUUCUUUUUCUCUUUACAAUGAUAUUCUGGUACAGGGCCUUUCAAAAAUGGGCUGCCAGUGCCAGAUGGCCAGCUUGAGAAUCUAUGCUGCUUCUCCAAAGGCCCUGAUUGCCUUUCCUACCAGCUUCAUUCUAUUUCCAGCUUCAUUUUGUUUCCCCUUUGGGCUAUCACAUUGGAAAUAUGAGAUGUUACAUUAAUCUUCAACAGGCAAUUUCAGACAUUUUAUAUCCACUUAUAACUUUGUAAUGAAUUACUUCACUGUUUGGCAAAUAUUAAAUAACAUCUUUUUUGUUGCAGUGUGUUGCUGUGAAAGUGUCUGUGAUCUGCAGGCCGCAGCUGGUUCCAGGAUUUGUUGCUGUUCAGUCUCAACUCGCCUGCCUCUUCCUCUCUCGUUUGUGUCCUCCUGUUCAAAUGCAGCUGGUUUACAUCCGUCACGAUGGACGGAGAGAAAUUCUUCACUAUAACCUGACAGACCAGAAAACUAGAGAUAGCCCCAGAUUCAGUACCUAUGUUUGGAUGGAUCAUUCCUUUGCAUUAUACUUAUGCAUAAACUAGAUCUCCAUUUGAAAGAAAGCAGAAGUCCACAUUUCCUUCAGCUUGCGACCACCUGAGCCUUCCUCCAACACCUUCUCAUUGACUUCUCUUUGUUCUUACUCUGGAUCCAUUAAAUUUAUGUGCACAGCC